GUCAGACUCCCGAGUAGCUGGGACUACAGGCGCCCGCCAUGAUGCCCGGCUAAUUUUUUGUAUUUUUAGCAGAGACGGGGUUUCACCCUGUUAGCCAGGAUGGUCUCAUCUCCUGACCUCGUGAUCCGCCCGCCUAGGCCUCCCAAAGUGCUGGGAUUACAGGCGUGAGCCACCGCGCCCGGCCUAAUAAAGGACAAUUUUUAAUAGCCACUGGACUAUUUAAGUGAUCUCUUCUGUCAGUUUCUUUUACCAUCAGAGGACACAGCAGCAAGGUGCCAUCCUAGAAGCAGAGAGCAGACCCUUACCAGACAACCAACCAGCUGGUGCCAUGAUCUUGGACUUCUCGGCCUCCAGAACUGCACUUAAACACGCAGCAUGAGGAAAAUGGAACAACAAUCUUGAGGUGCCUUCUGAAUCAUCAGAUUAAAUUAUGCUUCGUAUGUUUUGUUUUACUGUAUUUCUUUAAAAACUCUCAAUCUUUAUUCAUGUGUUACUGGAUUAAUUUAUUUGAUAAUGUCUCACAAGAAUCUAUUAGAUCAUUUAUUCUUCAGUUGUGCUUUGAAUGGUGGGGUGGAAGUUUCAGGUGAACACUGUGGAUAACAAAAGCAAGUUGUGGAAGACUGUGAAGAGGAUGGAAUAAUUGAAUACAAGAAAAAAAUGAAAAAAAUUGUCCCAUUUUUAAUAACUAUAUUACACUAUUAUUUUAUAAAUGUGUAACAAAGGGGUCCCUCUUUAAAAAAAAGAAAUAUCUCACGUAACCCAUAAUACAUACACUGACUUUGUACCCACAAAAAUUAAAAAAUAGCUCCUUAAUAAAUAAAUAAAUAAAAGAAUUCCUCAUCUGUCACCUACUACCCACCAAAAUUUUCAAUAAGUACAACUAUUUGUUUGGUGAAUGAAAUAGUAAUAUUUUCCCUUUGAACCAGGUGUUUUAAUGCUGUGAGCUGCUAAAGAUGGAAAUCAGCAAAGAAGGAAACAAGCUAGGCCACUACUCACUCCUUCUCCUUAGCCCAUGGAGAUAUAUUCCACAAAGCCAGCUAUUGAUUGCUACCAUUAGUCGGCCAGGCAAACCAGCAAUAAUUGCUUUAGCAAUUUUGUUCAUGAACAUUUCCUGUUAAUUUCCCAGGAGUAAAACCAGCUCCUCCCCCUCUUUUAACAAAAAGUCAGAGAGCAGGUGGAAAUUAUCAUACUCAUAAAUGUUACAAAAGUAUUAUUUACUUGGUUUGGGGUAGUGAAGAAUGCAAAGCAAAAGAUGAAGUAUUUCAAGUUUUUAAAAGAUUUGAAUCAACCACAUGUAUCAGUAAGUAAAGCAAAGACCAAAAUUAAAAAGUAUAUUUGAUUUUUUAUUUAUGGAAACUCUUCACCAUUCCACUUAAAAAUAAGUAAUAUCCCUUCAGGGUUUGGUACAUUUCAAGAUGUCUAACUUUCUAAUUAUUUAGACAAAAAAACAAUGGUUUAGCUCACUAAUUUUCACUGCUUCUUAUAUCCCAAAUCUUUUUUUUUUUUUUCUGAGUGGGAGAGAAUUUUCCUUUGUUCUGAAGUACAUCCUUUCAAACAUCAUUUAGUGGUGGUCUCAUGUGAUCGGCUUCUUGGUUUUGUCUGCCUAAAUAUGUCUAUUAUUUUAUAAAUGUGUUUAUAAAUUAAAUGUUUAAUUUUCUGUGUCAACUUGGCUAGGUCAUGACACCCAGAUAUUUGGCCAAACACAUCUGGAUAUUGCUGAGAAGUGAUUUUUUUAGAUGAGAUUAACAUUUAAAUCAGUGGACUUUGAGUAAAGCAGAUUACUCUCCAUAAUAUGGGUGGCCUUAUCCAGUCAGUCGAAGGCCUUAACCCGUUUAUGCCAGAGGUUGCAAAUUUUUUGUGUGAAAAAUCAGACCUUGGCAAUGACCUUGAGCAGUAGGAUAUAAAUAAAUCCCACAAGCUUAGCGUUCCAAUAGUGGAGCACUAGGCAUAAAUGCCUUAAAGAAAGGACUGAUCUCCCCUGAAGAAGAGAGAAUUCUGCCUCUAGAUUGCUUACAAUUUGAACUGGAACAUCAGCUGUUCUCUAGGUCUUAAGUCUGCUGCUCUAACCUACAAAUUUUGGACAUGCCAAUCUCCACAGUCACAUGGGCCAAUUCCUUAGUUUCUCUGGAGAAUCCUGACUAAUGUAUGCAAUGUCUUUAUUUCAUCCUCAUUCUUAAAGGAUAUUUUCAUCAGGUAUGCUAUUUUAGGUUGAUGGUUAUUUUCCUAGUGCAUUGAAGGUAUUAUUUUACAGGUUUAGACUUCCAUUGUUUCUGUUAAGAAACAGCAGUUUAAUUGUUUUUUUGUUUUUUCUUUGAAGGUAGUCUGUAGUUUUUAAUGGGUACUUUUAUGAACUUUUUUUUUUUGCUUUUGGUGGACUGUGGUUUCACUAGAUGUGUGCAUGGGUAGAUCUCUUUUUUAUUUUGCUAUUUGAGAUUUACUGGGCUUGAAUUUGUGAAUUAGUGUCUUUCAACAGUCCUGGGAUGUUCUUAGCCAUUGUAUUGUCAGACAUUGAUUCUUCUCCAUUUUCUCUCUCUUCUCUUUCUGAAAGUUCAAAUAGAUGAUUGUUAGAUCCCACUCUGUCCUUCCUAUGCCUUAAUCUCUAUUUUGUUUUCUAUUAGUUCCCUCUUCAGCUAUAUGUCUUUUUUUUUUAAUUAAUAGAUUUGUUUGUUUGUUUGUUUGAGACAGGGUCUUGCACUGCUGCCUAGGCUAGAGUGCAGUGGUGCAAUCAGGGCUCACUGCAGCCUCACUCAACUUCCCAGUCUCAAGCCAUCCUCCUACCUCAGCCUCUGUUCCACUAAUCUACUUGUCAAUUUUUCCAGCAACACCACACCCUCCUGAUCACCAUAGCUUUAUGCAACAACAAGAAACAAAUUUAUUAGCUAACCUAACCACUAAUGACGCAAGAGACAAUUCUAAGGACUUUCAAAACAGCAAAGUAGGAGCAGCUGCUACCUCUAGGGAUGAGGGAUGCAAUUGUCCAAUUAUUGGUGAAAUUGUCAUUUCAUGCUAUUGGCUAUUUGAAAUUCCUCCUCUAAUUUCAGAAUAAAUCACUGAAAUUGACAUCGGCCAGUCUGAAUUUCAAGAAAUUACCUGCUGAAGACAAGAGGGAUCUCUUCUUCAGAUUUGCAGUCUGGGGAAGACACAGCCUCUACUGUACUUUAGAACCUGAGAUAUGGUGGUGGAGGGAGCCCUGGGUCGAGUGGUAAGAUUCACCCUUAGGUCAGAGCUCCGGACUCCAGCCCCAUGCAACUUCAAAAUAUGACAAAUGUCUUGAAGGGGAGAUUGGCAUGCAGAUGAGGAAGGCCCUCUCGCCAACACAUUUGUAUUUCCUCUGUACUGUGAGACUGUGGGAGAUUUACUGCGACAUUUAGAAGCUUUCUUCCAAACUCCUGGGCCUCCGACACUGGUUCUAAACUCAGCAAAUGUUCUUUGGGAAAAACAGACAGUGCAUGUGAGGCCCCUCGAGUUUGGAAUUUAUGUCUCCAGCUUCACAUGGUCUCUCAAGUGCUUAUGCUUUUCUUCUCUCUGCCACCCACAUUCCCACAUCCCGCCCACCCCCCAACUUUCCUCCCUUCACCUUCCCAUGGAGACUUUUUGCCUGGGCUAAAUCUGAUCCUCAGCCCACUCUCAGAAUCGAUAAAUGCCCCUAGGUGAUUGUAAGCUCACCUAAGAUAUACUUUUUCUCCUCUAGAAUUUUAGUUUAUUAGAUUUUUCUAGUUGUCUUUGCAAAAGCGUUAACAGGCUCUGACUUCUGACAUUCAACUAGAUGUGGAAUAUCCAACCCCUAGCAUUUCAUGGAAUGUACUGACCAAGAUAAAAUGUGUUCUUAUUAAACAAUGCCAUUUCUUGACCACUUCUGUUUUUAGGAAUUGUGGUAUCUGAGUCAUGGUGAUUAGAAGUACUAAUGAAAUAAAUGGGAAAAUUAAACUUCUACUAACAUUUCAUAUAGUAGGGAGAUGUCUGUGAAGAAUUAUAACUGGUACAGAUUUUGUGUUUAUAAACAAGGAGACAGAAAAUGCAGAAAAUAAAAAAUAUUUUAUUUAGUUUUAAAGUGGUCAGAGUACUUUGUUUCUAAUCUCAUAACAUUAACUAGCAACAGAUUGAACUUUUAAGCAAAUUCCUCUGACCUAGUAGCUACUAGGAUUACCUACUGCAUGUAGAAACCAUUCUUAACUUGAGGGCCACAUAAAAAGAGGCCAUUGUCAGUAAUUUGCCAACCCUUGAUCCAGACCAUGUAUUGCUCUACCUCUAAACCAUAGUUGCUUCAUUUGCUUAAGUCUUUUCACAUAAUAAAACCCUUAUUAUAAGGAGGUGGUGCUGUUACCAGGACAACCAGGAACUGGGCCUCUACUAUUGUCAGCUGAAUUCUCUGCUCCGUUGUCAAUUCUCAACUCCAUUUCUGGCUUACCUCAAACAGAGUCACAAGAAAGUAAAUAUUUUGCAAUCUUCUUGUCCUUAGCUGUUCGUUCCUCCAGAAUGACAUAGAGAUUUGUAAAUAUUCACUGGAAUUCAAUGGCUUCAUGCAUUCUAUUUCCACAAACAAAUCCUGAUACAUUUCUCUCCUUCAAUAUAAAGUACUCAUUUUCUGAUCCGUAUUAGCCAGCAUCUUGCACUCCAAAUAACCAGUAACAAAAAGAUCCAUGGGUUGAGGUGAGAUUAUUGCUUUAGAUAGAGAAGUAUCUGACCAUUGUUAAUUACUUUGAAAACAGAUAUGUCAAAAAAGAUAAAACAUACAUUUAUUGUCCCUGACAAUUUACAAACCAAAAUAUACCAUAAUGCAACAAACUAUCUGGGUUGUGGCUUAUCUCCUCAGUUGAAACACUAUUGCCAAUGCUAAACAAUGGAACACAGUAUUUGGCUAUUGGCUAAAGAAAAUGAUGUUCAUACAGCUUAGACAGAAAUUAGUCAUUGAGUCACUAGAGACUAUAAGCAGCAUAUGAAUGCCUGAAACUUACAGAAGAAUCAAUACAGGCUAUUAAACUCUCAUUUCUUAGAAUACCGUAUACUUGCGUGUUUAAACUGACAUCUUAAAAAGUUUUGUAAAGAGCAAUUCAAACUCACAGCAUGAUAAAUAAUCUUUAGGUUUAAUGAGACCUCAAGAACUAGACCAGCUUGAAGCAUGCCAUCUUACCUAGUUACUUAAGAAGCUAGUUUUUCCUUUUGUAACAUGAUCUCAGAAAAAAGAAAAUAUAAUCAUUGUUCUAAGGCAAUCCACAAACUCUGUUACUCCCAUUACAUUUUCAAAACUGCAGACACUCAGGGGGUGUCCGAUUCAUGCCUGGGGCCAUGUGAAACACCCACCUCUGUGAGUAGCUUUAUUAACUCUAUAAACACUUCAAGACAUUCCUAGCAGUGUGGGGUAGCACACAUAUCUAUUGUCUAUCUUAGGUUUGGAAUCAUUUUUCCUCUUAAAAAUAACACACUGAACCAAUUAGCUUUUCUAAAUCAAAUUAACCUAAUAGCAUUCAAAAACUGACAAACAUAAUCUGCUUGUUCUAAGACAAAAGUGGAUUAGUGAACAGAAUCAUAUCUCUAGUCAGGUCCAAAUCAAGUUAUAAAUUCUAACCAAACAGUGAUUGCUGGAAUAAGUCAUAUUAUUAGUAUGCAUAGUCAUACUGAUCUCAAAUGUAAGCAACAUAGGCCUUUUCAGCAGGGAGAUAUAAAAGUUUAGAGUUGAAGAAUGUCUUUUCAUGUUGUGGUAGAGAGCUUGUUUCCUUUGACGUACAUGGCUCCCUCAAGCCUUAGGCUAUUUAGUUACAUCCCUUGUAGUCACAGGAAGGAAUAGCACUCCUCAUUUUUCUAUACCAUCUUUUAGGCAUGUUAUUGUUUAAUACUUUUUUUUUUGUUGCCUGCCUGCUGCUUGUUAGUAUAUGCACCAAAGCAAAUGAGGUAAGACUUCAAUGCAUCAAAUGCUUUUCCUUAAAACAACAUUUUUAUUGAAAUAUGAAACAAAUAUUUUUAUUACCUUCUUUAUAGAAGUAUUUUUUAAAGAAUAGUGAUUGAUAAUAUUGACAGAAAGGAGGACCUAUGAAUUAUCUAUAAAUUAUCUUUAUAUUUGAACUAUUCACAAAUGCAGAAAAUUUAAAAAUCAAAUACAUUUUUCACUUGCUAAUAUAUCUUUUCAUGAGACAUUAUCCUAUAAAAUCCACAGAGGGAUGUGUCCAUUUCUAUUCUCUGCCAACCCUUUUGGUACCACCCAUUGGACAUAACAUUUAGAAUUAAAUUAAGGUUAUCACUAUUGUUAAGCAAAUACUAUUAGAGGUUAGACUGGCAGGUCUUCAGAAAUAGCUCACACUGGAGCCAUGCAUCUCAGUACUCACACUCCUGUGUAGCCUCCUUUCCUUGAAUCUGAGAAUCUGAGAUGGUCCUGUAACUUGUUUUUAACCAGAAGAACAUGGUAGAAGUGAUACUGCCUGACUUCUGAGAUAAAAUUGUAAGAUUCCUUGCAGAUUUUCACCUAGGUCCCUUGGAAUGAGUACCCUGGAAAAAGCCAGCAGACACCACGCUGUGAGCAAAUGCCCAACCUAGCCAAGCAGUGGAGCAACAUGGGGAAAACGGAGAUACGUGGACAUUCUCCAGCUAUUUCAGUCAACCCAGCCAAGGAGAAGACAUGUGAGUGUAGAUGCUAUUGUAUAUGUCUAGGCCAGUAAAGCCUUUAGCAAGCUGGAGCCCCAGCAGCUAUUUGAAUUCAAUGAGAGACCCCAAGUGAGAGCCACCAUAUUGACCCAAUCAACACACCGAAGUGUGAGAGAGAAUAAUUAAGUGCUAGCCUAAGCCACUGAAUUUUGAGGGUGGUUUGUUACACAGCAAUCAACCAAAGCAAAGAUAUUGGUUACUUGUUUGGGGGUUUCAUUUUUAAUUAUAACAUUCCAUGGCUUCUAAACAAAUUUUGCACUUAUAAUUUUAUCAAUUUACUGAUAAUCCUGCUGUCCUUGUUUUGUAUCUACAAUGCUUAGAUUAGAAAAUCUAAUGGAGAAGUGUGUGUGUUUGUGUGUGUGUGUGUGUGUGUGUGUGUGUGUAUUUCACUCUUUUAUAUAAUGGAUUUUGAGGAACAACUAGAUUGGCUUUCUAAGAGAGGGGGAAAUGCUUCUGAAUAUUUUAAGUAAAAUUUUGAUCUACAACAACUCUGCUGUAAAUGUUUAAUAUAAUAUUAUUUUGAGACUUUGCAUGAGCUAAAAACAUCUAAAGCUAAUAAAGCCAGGCUUUUAAAGAGAAAAAGAGUAAUUAUAGGUUGCCUGUAAGAAACUCACUUACUUUACUUUUUUAUUUAUCUAUUUUUUAACUUAUCAUUUUAGAUACUCUCUGAAUUUUAAUUGUAGUGUUUAGAUGUUGAUCUGUCUUUACAUGUCAAACAUUUAAAUUAACUCUUUUGCCUGAAAGAAGAAAUACCAAGAUACAUAAAUUGAAUAAAAGGAGUGGUCUUGAGCACCAUAAAAAUACAAUGUUUGGGCCGGGCAUGGUGGCUCAUGCCUGUAAUCCCAGCACUUUGGGAGGCCGCAGCUGGUGGAUCACGAGGCCAGGAGAUUGAGACCAUCAUGACUAACACAAUGAAACCCCAUCUCUACUAAAAAUACAAAAGCAAAUUAGCCAGGCGUGGUGGCAUGCACCUGUAGUCUCAGCUACUCGGGAGGCUGAGGCAGGAGAAUUGCUUGAACCCAGCAGGUGAAGGUUGCAGUGAGCUGAGAUCACACCACUGCACUCCAGCCUGGGUGACAGAGAGAGACUCCGUCUCAAAGAAAAACAAAACGAUGUUUCAAAAUCUACACAGAAAAGAAAAAGAGGGGAGAAGAAAACUAAAAAGAGACUCUAAGAAAAAUAUUGAAGAAGAAGAUGGUUGGUGAAGGGGAUAUUGCUCUAGUACUAGUAUUUCUUUAGGCAGCUGUUUAAUGUUGCCUCUGAAUAAGUACAUAUUUUAAGGCAGUUAACAAUCUGGUUUAUGAAAAAAUGGGAAAUCACUGUGUGUUAGUGAGCCAGACAGAUGUGUAUAGUGUGGAUAGGGUUCUCUCUUUAAAAUGCACAGAACUGGAAUUUAGCGUUAACCUCAUAAGCACUUGAUGUUCAUGUGGGUGCUCACCAGGCAAUAUGCUCCAGCUAUUGAACAGAAUGCAUUCACUUGCUGUAUACUGAGUGGUCCCCUAGUAAGCUGGAAAAAGUUGUACUUAUGUCAUGUUUAAUUUAUAUAGUGUAGACAUCAUGAAUAAUUAAAUUUAAUAACUACUCAAUGUCAGUGUUUAUAUAUGGCUAGUAGCCAAUAUUUUUUGGUUCUUCAAGAAGAAAGGUACAUGUCUUAGGAAAACUUGAUACAGGAAAAUAUCAGUAUUCUCACUUCAGAGUCAUUCCUUUGGGGAAAAAAAAAGGCUACAAAUUUCCUAACUACGUGUUAAGCAUUGGUGCAGGCAUUGAUAAAGUUUGGAUGUUUGUCCCCCACAAAUGUCAUAUUGAAAUGUAAUCCCCAAUGAAGACGGGGCCUGGUAGGAGGUGUUGGCAUCCUGGGGUCAGAUCUCUCAUGAAUGGCUUGGUGUUGUCCUUGGGAUAGUGAGUAAGUUCUUGCGAGAUCUAGUUGUUUAAGAGUCUGGCACCUCCUCCCUCUCUCUCUUGCUCCCUCGCUCUCACCAUGUGACAUGCUUGCUCUCCCUUCACCUUCUGCUAUGAUUGGAAGCUUACUGAGGCCCUCACUAUGAGCAGAUGCUGGAACAAUGCUUAUACAGCCUGCAGAACUGUGAGCCAAUUAAACUUCUUUUCACAUUACCCAGCCUCGGGUAUUUCUUUAUAGCAAUGCAAGAGUUGGCUAACAUGGGCAUAGAGGGCAUAUAGCAGCUACAUUUGCCUGAGGUGUAUAGCAAAGGUGGUGUCAGGAAAGGUUAGCAUUGAGCUUUGUUCUUUAAAGUGAGUAAGUUACCAGGAUGGUAAAGGAGUAUCGAUGCAAAGUAAGGAGUGGAGAAAUACAUUUUAAGUGGAGGGAAUUAUUUAAAACAGGGCCCGAAUGUCUUCCUCGGGUGUUGCCAUAUAUUGUAUCUGAACAUCUUAUAUAGUAUUUAUUAUUUGAUGAUGUAAAAUCAGUUUCUUAUUGUUUCCUUCUUUCUCUAGAUUGCAAGCUUAGGGGGCAGCAAUAAUACGUCACUUAUGUUUGAGUCCUAAUUCCUCAUACAGUCUUUGGCAUAAAUAAUAGGCACUCAGUAAUUACUAUAAAUAAAGAAAGAAAAUAGCUGUAGUAAAAAUGGAUAACAUUUGUUGUAACAGUUUCAUUUAGAUAUUUAUGAGAGUGUUAGAGCUCCCUGUUAUAUUGUAAGAUUUUUUAGGGAAGGGAUCUUGCAUAAGUUUUAUCCUUUAAAUGGUGCCUGACUCAUAGUUAGAACCCUAUGGAAAGCAAAUUAUAGUCCUUUACAUUUCUUUAAUCAGCCAGGGCCUAAUUUAACCCUAUACGUUUAUAUAAAGGGCAGAAAUUAUUACAAUAAAUAAUCUUGAAACAGCAGAAUUCUGCAUUACAAAUAUGAGGCUGCCAUAUUUCUGUGUUUCUGGUUGCCUAGAAACAAAAAUGUGAAGUUGUAUGAAACUAUAAGAGUUUGUACUCAUAAGAUAUUCUAUGCAAAGUUCAGCCUGCCUCUCUGGGUUUGGAAAGCAUCAAUUCUGAGGAGCUUCAGACAAUAUUGCGGUCUUCAUAGCUGAAAGUUUGCAAAGUUGGGCUUGUUUCAUGGUAUUACCGGCAUAUCCAAUUAGCUAAAGAAAAUAAUUCUUCAUUUAGAGUAUCCAGAACAGACCAAUAACAAUAUUGUUCAAUAACAACUGCUCUAAAU
Molecule: long non-coding RNA, 9794 nt
Filed under: Homo sapiens (human)
Lineage: Eukaryota; Metazoa; Chordata; Mammalia; Primates; Hominidae
Description: HSALNT0246835
Source: RNAcentral